UGAGAAGCGUAAGAAGGGAUC
RNAcentral lists this microRNA (21 nucleotides) under Cynara cardunculus (cardoon). RNAcentral's name for it is "cca-miR6108b". The record is from miRBase by way of RNAcentral. Lineage: Eukaryota; Viridiplantae; Streptophyta; Magnoliopsida; Asterales; Asteraceae.